RNAcentral lists this ribosomal RNA (216 nucleotides) under Glomeromycotina sp. Its description in RNAcentral is "partial small subunit ribosomal RNA". The stretch from base 54 to 216 matches the Rfam family "Eukaryotic small subunit ribosomal RNA", at positions 700 to 864 of the family's 1831-position model. Lineage: Eukaryota; Fungi; Glomeromycota. The record is from RNAcentral.
GGGUCAGUAGGUUGGUCGUGCCACCGGUACGUACUGGUCUCGCUGACUCCUCCUUCCUGAAGAACCGUAAUGCCAUUAAUUUGGUGUUGCGGGGAAACAGGACUGUUACUUUGAAAAAAUUAGUGUGUUUAAAGCAAGCUAACGCUUGAAUACAUUAGCAUGGAAUAAUGAAAUAGGACGAUCGAUCCUAUUUUGUUGGUUUCUAGGAUUGACGUA